GCCCCCGUAGCUCAGUGGAUAGAGCAACGGUUUCCUAAAUCGUGGGUCGGACGUUCGAGUCGUCUCGGGGGCA
RNAcentral lists this transfer RNA (73 nucleotides) under bacterium (Candidatus Blackallbacteria) CG13_big_fil_rev_8_21_14_2_50_49_14. RNAcentral describes it as "tRNA-Arg". It matches the Rfam family "tRNA". Rfam says of the family: Transfer RNA (tRNA) molecules are approximately 80 nucleotides in length. Their secondary structure includes four short double-helical elements and three loops (D, anti-codon, and T loops). RNAcentral also lists the same sequence under 2 other names. Lineage: Bacteria; Candidatus Blackallbacteria. The record is from RNAcentral.